Molecule: microRNA precursor, 61 nt
Filed under: Pristionchus pacificus
Lineage: Eukaryota; Metazoa; Nematoda; Chromadorea; Rhabditida; Neodiplogasteridae
Description: mir-8364 microRNA precursor family
Rfam family: mir-8364 microRNA precursor family
Source: Rfam by way of RNAcentral
CCUUCAUUUCACACACUCUCUCAUCGGUCAGAGAGGCGAGAGAGUGUGUGAAAUGAAGAGA